GACCCCAAGAGUAGUGACGGCAGGAAGCUAGAGACAGGAGAAACUAUUGCUAGGACCGGAGGAGCCAAAGGGAAGAGGUGCUGUUCCCAGAGCCCAGGAGCACGCUCUUCACUGAAAUUGUUCCCACACUGCUGGUGCUUUGAGAAUCCUGUCACUCCUGAAAACACCAAAGGUCACCGGAGCCUGCAGCUGUGCGUGACGUCAGAGCUGCUACUGUCACAGUAGCCCUCACUUGCCAGCAUCUACCAGCCACUGUCUGUCACCGCAAGUGCGGGAAAGACAGAAGGCCAUCUCUGGUGCCACAGCCACCACCAGAAGCUGGAGAAAAAUGUCUUCUCCCUUUCUUCCACCUUCCAAUCUCCUGUCAUUCUCUCCCAUUGGCAGAACCCAGCCAGAAGCCAGCAGGCAAGGGAGUCUGGGAAAAGUAGUUUGCAGGUAGCCAGAGUCCUCCAACAAAGAGUGACCAGCCUUUAUUACAUGCUCCAGUAUUAAGCUUCACACAGAGAAGCACGAAGUGCCAAAGACACCCAUUGGAUCCACUUCUAGGUCCAGCAAGCAAGCCUAUGAUGGCCCUCUGGAGAAUAACUGCCUUCAGGAAGUGUUUCACAUACUCUACCCUACAGGGGACAUGCAUUCUACAAAAAACAAACUUUCCACGGGCCAAUACUUUCUCUUUGGAGUUGCUGUGCCUGGAGGAGAUACUUGGAACGGCUGCCGCCAUCUUGCUACUGGCCUGACCCUGAAGCCAACAGUGAGGAACAGAAAGGCUAAGGAGUGGAGGUGGAGAUGCAGUGUUUCCCAGGUGGCUUGCUAUGAUGCAGACAUCGGUGUGAUAAUGACCUUAGUCCAGCGGUGAGGCUUCAUGGGUGGCUAUGCCAGGUACCUGGCCAAACUGUCUUAGAGAGAAGUGGUCUAGUUGGAUUCCUUCUGAAGGAGAAGGCCACACAGAAAAGCAGGUUUUCUUACUGGAGGGUUCUGUUUCUAGAGAAACCAACCUAAACCCCACGCUUCUGACUAAAUGAGCUGGCACAGCAGGGUGCUAGAACCAUCAUCCACGUGGAUACUGAAAUUUCCAAGAAUUAUGACAGGAGUAACGUUGGAGGGGAAGACAGUUACCUGGGUAUUACAAUCACUGAGGCUGAGGCCAAGAGACCUGGGGCUCAAAACAGGACUCUGUUUACUCCACAUCUGCACUGAGAAGCUGAACACUGUUGGAAAGAAACCCACCAUCACCCAAUGACCUGCACUUUGAGUGAGUGAUCGCAGAAGUCCUGUCAGUUCUGCACGCAGCUUGGUCAUCACGCUACAUUGCCCAGCGCGCAUGCUAUCUGAAUUGACUAACCUCAUUGAUGUUAUUUUACCUAUUGAAAAGAUAAACUCCCAACAUCAGUGGCUUAAUCUGUUAACAGUUUCUUUCUUUCUUCUGGCAUAAAUCCCAAACAAGAAUUCCUGAUCGGCAGGUAAGGUUCUAACUCUAGGUGAUGAUUCAGGGAUCCCAGGCUCUUACCCUCUUGUCACCUUGCCAUCUUUGUCUCUUGGUUGUCAAGGUUGCAGCUUGGGGAAGGAGCAUGGAGGAUCACAUGUGGGAGGACAUCAUUAUCACAUUUCACUGGGUCUAUGAUGACUGUACACCCAAUCUUCCACGGACCAUGUGACAGUAUAUAAGUCCCCCAUGCUUCUGACACAACUGUGGGGAAGGGGUGGUACAGAACUGACAGGGAUUAAUUUUCUACCACUGACUGAACGGGGGCCUAAAAAAGGAAAUUAAGUUUAUCUAUAGAAGGUAAGUUAAAUGCUUUUCAACUUGGGUUUGUGUGCUGAGAUCCAUACAUACCACAUGUCUGAACUGCUAUCUGGAGGAGGUGAUUUUGGAAUAGAAGUGGAAGAGCAUGGAAUUGAAAAACCUGAUGAGAAAGUUGAAAAUUGCUUCUGGUGGGAGGACAGUGAUACAGUUUUUGAAGCCUUUAAUGGUGAACUGCAAACAGGGCUCCAUUCACCCAUGCAGCACUUUUGUUAGAGAAAGGCCACAGCGCCAUGCCAGGGUGCAUGGCUGUGGGCAGUGCAGUGUGGGCUGGAUUCUAUCCCCUACCACGCCUUUUGCCACAUAACAUUGUGCAUAAUACAUCUGCACAUCGAUAUGUGGCAGUCCGAUAUCAAAGCAACUAUAUAUGCUCCUUCCCUGUGGGAGACUGAAUUAAUGACCCUGGUUUUGUUUGUUAGUUUAUUUACUUCUUCCUGUACCCAUACCCUUUGCCAUAUGACUUUUCAGUUCUUUCCACUAAAAAAGUGGGCUUUAUUUUUCUGAUGCUUGACUUUGAGUUUGGCUAUGUAAUGAGCUUUGGCCAGUGGAAUGUUAACGAAUGUGAGAUGACCCAAAAGUAGAAGCACUUGCAUGACUGGACUUGCCCUCUUAUACCUCUGGCAACACCUUGAGAAGCAUGUGUCCAGGCUAGCCCACUGGUCCCAAAAAGAGGAUGAGAAACAUGUGGAGCAGAGCCAAGUCACUCAAGCCAAGCCCAGACUAGAUCCAUUGAUCUUCAGUGAACCCUACAGAUGCAUGAGUAAGCCCAGCAGAGAUCAGCAGAACCACUCAGCCAAAGCCCUGCCUCGAUCAGCUAGACUCUUGUUGACUCAUAGACUCAUGGGCUAAAUAAAUGCUUAUUGUUGUUUA
Ailuropoda melanoleuca (giant panda) is the source of this 2671-nucleotide long non-coding RNA. RefSeq lists it as uncharacterized. The record is from RefSeq and is a predicted model, not a curated record. The transcript is spliced from 5 exons. Lineage: Eukaryota; Metazoa; Chordata; Mammalia; Carnivora; Ursidae.